CUUUCUUGAGAAAAAAAUGCAAAUGGUGAUCCAGGAAACGAUGACAUUUUGGAAACGGUUGAACAGCGGGCCAUGACAUUCCCUCGGCCUCGAUGGUGGCAACAGGAAAGGUUUGAAAGAGAAACAAGAAAGAAUUUUAUAUGAAAUGGCACAGAAGAUUAGUAACAAGUAAUUUUGAAUUUUGAGAGCCAUAGAUGGGUACAAAACUGAAACUUUUGAAGCAGAGCCUGCUGCUUUAGUAAGUAUAUUUCUUUGUUUCUAUAAGAGAAACUUGUUUUGUUUAUGAGGUAAGGCCUUGUUCAAAGAAUGUAGGUAAUAUCACUGGAUAUAACUUUGUUCUUUGUAGAUCUUGUAUUGGAGAAAAAUGAUUGUUUAAUCUGGAUUUUUUUUUUCCUU
Long non-coding RNA from Telopea speciosissima, 396 nucleotides. RefSeq lists it as uncharacterized. The transcript has 4 exons. NCBI's taxonomy places the organism in Eukaryota, Viridiplantae, Streptophyta, Magnoliopsida, Proteales, Proteaceae. The record is from RefSeq and is a predicted model, not a curated record.